RNAcentral lists this ribosomal RNA (497 nucleotides) under uncultured bacterium. RNAcentral's name for it is "partial 16S ribosomal RNA". It matches the Rfam family "Bacterial small subunit ribosomal RNA", at positions 28 to 507 of the family's 1533-position model. The record is from RNAcentral.
GAUGAACGCUGGCGGCGUGCCUAAUACAUGCAAGUCGAGCGAACAGACGAGGAGCUUGCUCCUCUGACGUUAGCGGCGGACGGGUGAGUAACACGUGGAUAACCUACCUAUAAGACUGGGAUAACUUCGGGAAACCGGAGCUAAUACCGGAUAAUAUAUUGAACCGCAUGGUUCAAUAGUGAAAGACGGUUUUGCUGUCACUUAUAGAUGGAUCCGCGCCGCAUUAGCUAGUUGGUAAGGUAACGGCUUACCAAGGCGACGAUGCGUAGCCGACCUGAGAGGGUGAUCGGCCACACUGGAACUGAGACACGGUCCAGACUCCUACGGGAGGCAGCAGUAGGGAAUCUUCCGCAAUGGGCGAAAGCCUGACGGAGCAACGCCGCGUGAGUGAUGAAGGUCUUCGGAUCGUAAAACUCUGUUAUUAGGGACGAACAAAUGUGUAAGUAACUAUGCACGUCUUGACGGUACCUAAUCAGAAAGCAACGGCUAACUACGUG